AGUGAACGCUGGCGGUAGGCCUAACACAUGCAAGUCGAACGGCAGCACAGUAAGAGCUUGCUCUUACGGGUGGCGAGUGGCGGACGGGUGAGGAAUACAUCGGAAUCUACUUUUUCGUGGGGGAUAACGUAGGGAAACUUACGCUAAUACCGCAUACGACCUACGGGUGAAAGCAGGGGAUCUUCGGACCUUGCGCGAUUGAAUGAGCCGAUGUCGGAUUAGCUAGUUGGCGGGGUAAAGGCCCACCAAGGCGACGAUCCGUAGCUGGUCUGAGAGGAUGAUCGGCCACACGGGGACGGGGAAACGGCCCAGACGCCUACGGCCGGCAGCAGUAGGGAAUGUGCGGGAAGGGACGAAAGUCGGACCGAGCAACGCCGCGUGAGGGAAGAAGGUCUUCGGAUCUUAAAACUCUGUUGUUAGCGAAGAACAAGGACGUUAGGAACUGAACGUCCGCUGACGGUAUCUAACCAGAAAGCAACGGCUAAAUACGUG
RNAcentral lists this ribosomal RNA (492 nucleotides) under uncultured bacterium. RNAcentral describes it as "partial 16S ribosomal RNA". It matches the Rfam family "Bacterial small subunit ribosomal RNA", at positions 29 to 507 of the family's 1533-position model. The record is from RNAcentral.